ACAUGCAAGUCGAGCGUAGAGAGAAGUUGUCUCUUGAGAGCGGCGGACGGAUGAGUAAGCCUAGGAUCUGCCUGGUAGUGGGGGAUAACGUUCGGAAACGGACGCUAAUACCGCAUACUCCUACGGGAGAAAGCAGGGACUUCGGGCCUUGCGCUAUCAGAUGAGCCUAGGUCGGAUUAGCUAGUUGGUGAGGUAAUGGCUCACCAAGGCGACGAUCCGUAACUGGUCUGAGAGGAUGAUCAGUCACACUGGAACUGAGACACGGUCCAGACUCCUACGGGAGGCAGCAGUGGGGAAUAUUGGACAAUGGGCGAAAGCCUGAUCCAGCCAUGCCGCGUGUGUGAAGAAGGUCUUCGGAUUGUAAAGCACUUUAAGUUGGGAGG
Molecule: ribosomal RNA, 383 nt
Filed under: uncultured bacterium NIC007
Lineage: Bacteria; Pseudomonadati; Pseudomonadota; Gammaproteobacteria
Description: bacterial SSU rRNA
Rfam family: Bacterial small subunit ribosomal RNA
Source: RNAcentral